This is a long non-coding RNA of Papaver somniferum (opium poppy), 486 nucleotides long. RefSeq lists it as uncharacterized. NCBI's taxonomy places the organism in Eukaryota, Viridiplantae, Streptophyta, Magnoliopsida, Ranunculales, Papaveraceae. The transcript is spliced from 2 exons. The record is from RefSeq and is a predicted model, not a curated record.
AUCAUCACCACAGACAUAAAUUAGGCAUCUUUCUCUCUACAUUAACCUAGGGCUAUUCAAUUUGAUGCGUUACGUUAGAAGAGCGUUCAUUUGAAAUGUUCCCCUAUAUAAAUCUCAACACAGGUAAUCAUCUACCCAGGUGUUGAUUUUAAAAUAUAGAUAUUCACAAGUGGUGGAGAGAAGCUUAAGCUAUAAAUUUGGGAUGUUGGACGGGAUGCGGUAAACAUAUCUAAUGGAAUGGUAGUCAAAUAAGAGUUGUGUGUAGCUAAUGGUAGUCAUAGCUAAUGGAAUGGAAUGGUAGUCAUAAUGGAAUCAGUACAACAUUUUUCUUGAGUUUGCAUACAUAAUCCAAAGAAACUUUUGCCACUAUUUCAAAUUCCUAAAGUAAUGUACUUUAUGUAACUGAAGUCUUAUCAGAAGAAAAUAACAAAAUAAACUCGGCAAAGGAGUUCAUAAGAACCUAAACCGACUGGGUAGUUGAAGAUA